UGGGGAAUAUUGGACAAUGGGCGAAAGCCUGAUCCAGCCAUGCCGCGUGAGUGAUGAAGGCCUUAGGGUUGUAAAGCUCUUUUAGUGGGGAAGAUAAUGACGGUACCCACAGAAAAAGCCCCGGCUAACUUCGUGCCAGCAGCCGCGGUAAUACGGAGGGUGCAAGCGUUGUUCGGAAUUACUGGGCGUAAAGCGCGUGUAGGCGGCUAAUUAUGUCAGGUGUGAAAGCCCUCGGCCUAACCGAGGAAGUGCGCCUGAAACUGAUUAGCUUGAGUACGAGAGAGGAGGACGGAAUUCCCAGUGUAGAGGUGAAAUUCGUAGAUAUUGGGAGGAACACCGGUGGCGAAAGCGGUUCUCUGGAUCGAUACUGACGCUAAGACGCGAAAGCGUGGGGAGCAAACAGGAUUAGAUACCCAAGUAGUCCCUGAGCGGGCUGGCAAGGCGCAU
Molecule: ribosomal RNA, 447 nt
Filed under: uncultured bacterium
Lineage: Bacteria
Description: bacterial SSU rRNA
Rfam family: Bacterial small subunit ribosomal RNA
Source: RNAcentral